UCNUCUCUUGUCAUGUCCUGUUUUCUUGAGCUUGAUGAAAAACCUGUCUAUGUCCUUUCACCUCCUGCUCUUUUGACCUUCAAAACAUUGUCAGCUCAGGAACCCGAGAGACAGUGCUCAUAUUGGAGUCU
Long non-coding RNA from Orbicella faveolata, 131 nucleotides. The record is from RefSeq and is a predicted model, not a curated record. NCBI's taxonomy places the organism in Eukaryota, Metazoa, Cnidaria, Anthozoa, Scleractinia, Merulinidae.